Tribolium madens (black flour beetle) is the source of this 478-nucleotide long non-coding RNA. RefSeq lists it as uncharacterized. The transcript has 3 exons. Lineage: Eukaryota; Metazoa; Arthropoda; Insecta; Coleoptera; Tenebrionidae. The record is from RefSeq and is a predicted model, not a curated record.
AAAUAGUAUACCACUAAAUAAUGUUAAAUUAUCUUUUUUUACAUAAUUUUGAGUUAUUCGUUACAAAAAACCUUGUAUGUAACUCUUUCAGAAAGUUGUCUUUCCGAAUUGGUUAGGUAAAUAACUAUUUCAGAACUCCAAGGUUAAUUUAAAUUUCGAGUUGUGGAAAAUGGGUAAUUUAACUACAAGAAAAUUUGAAACGACUUUUCACUGCUACAAUGAAUUAAUUAAUAAAAGAUUCAUCAAACGUUUUUAAUGACAAAUCUUGUUCCUUUAUAUGUAAGGCCCCUUUCACAUUGAAAGUGUGGCCUACUUUCAAUGAAAAAUCAAACACAAAAUCACUUGUUGGAAAAACUCAACAAAACCAUAGGAAAAACGUUUCUUUUGGCCAAUUAAUAAAAAAACAGAGUUCUUAAAAUCCUUUUAUUUAAUGGAAUCAACGGUGUUUUCACACAAUAAAUCAGUGUAUCACACGUUA